AACUGCCCUGCGCCUCCGCUGGCCCGCGUGAAACCCUCUCUGCUGCCUCGACUGACUGUCGUUUCCGUGUCUUGAUUGUGGCCUCUGCCUCUCCCCCUUCCGAUUUCGUUCGACUUCUUUCUACAGUUACUAAGCGCCCACUGUGUGCCCUGGAAGGGACUAGACUCAGCAGGAAAAACAUCCAGGCAAGUGGACAGCAUUUGCAACAGCCCAGCAAUAAGAAGGACCAUAUUCUACUUGGGAAAAGCCUGCCAGGAAACCUGUCAUUCAACCCUUUGCAAUAAAACAGCUCCUCAUGAAUGAAGCAAAAUAAAUCAGAAGUUGUGGGCUUUUAAACUCACUAAAUGAAAGCACAGCAUGCAUGCAGCCUCCCUCCAAAUUAAUCACCAGAUUAAAUGCAAGAUGUGCACACCAAAUCAAUAGCUUGUGACGGGGACCUCCUGCCUGUGCUUCAGGAAAAUUCCAUUUCCUUUCAGAUGUUGUCGCUUGAAAUGUCAGGAAGUUUCCAUUCAUCACCCGCCCUUGAAAAUGCCACCAUCACCAUACUUCAUGUUUCCUUGCUUUCUUUCUUCAGAGGAAUCCAAGCACCUUGCAGAGGGAGCCCACUCCUUGUCACAG
Molecule: long non-coding RNA, 618 nt
Filed under: Homo sapiens (human)
Lineage: Eukaryota; Metazoa; Chordata; Mammalia; Primates; Hominidae
Description: non-protein coding lnc-JUN-5:20
Source: RNAcentral